GAUGAACGCUGGCUACAGGCUUAACACAUGCAAGUCGAGGGGAAACGACGGGGAAGCUUGCUUCCCCGGGCGUCGACCGGCGCACGGGUGAGUAACGCGUAUCCAACCUGCCUCUGACUGAGGGAUAACCCGUCGAAAGUCGGCCUAAUACCUCAUGGUAUCGUCUGCGGGCAUCCAACGACGAUUAAAGAUUUCAUCGGUCAGGGAUGGGGAUGCGUCUGAUUAGCUUGUUGGCGGGGUAACGGCCCACCAAGGCUACGAUCAGUAGGGGUUCUGAGAGGAAGGUCCCCCACAUUGGAACUGAGACACGGUCCAAACUCCUACGGGAGGCAGCAGUGAGGAAUAUUGAGCAAUGGGCGAGAGCCUGAACCAGCCAAGUAGCGUGCAGGAAGACGGCCCUAUGGGUUGUAAACUGCUUUUAUGCGGGGAUAAAGUGAGGGACGUGUCCCUCAUUGCAGGUACCGCAUGAAUAAGGACCGGCUAAUUCCGUG
RNAcentral lists this ribosomal RNA (491 nucleotides) under uncultured bacterium. RNAcentral's name for it is "partial 16S ribosomal RNA". It matches the Rfam family "Bacterial small subunit ribosomal RNA", at positions 28 to 507 of the family's 1533-position model. The record is from RNAcentral.